AAUCAUACCCCUGAACGGUAGGAGGUGGGGUCAUAGAGGUCCAAGCACGAGAAGUAUCAACAUUAAACUCAACAUCUACGCUAUCACUAUUGGUUGAUCGGUUAGAUGAGUUAGAAGUACUAGCCGAAGAGGAUUCAGAGGAGGACGAACGAGCCAAAUCUUUCUCGUACCCUCGACCUUCUUUCUCGGAAGUAUCGGUGGAUUGAGAGGAAGGAGCCAUUACCAGGAAAAGAAGGUUCGGGAAUUGAAGAUGUAAGAACAGGAAAUAUGAUGCACGAUCGAGAAAGAUGAAUCUAGGAAACCAGAAAAGUAAAAUGGGGAGGGCCUACCCCACUAUUUAUAGUCGUGGAAAACGGUUUCUUAAUUCCAUCUUCACCGUUCAUUUGGUCGUGAUCUAAGGGUGGAAAUUUGACGACUCUUCGAUUCUCAGUCAGGGAGAUAUAAAAGUUCAUCCUCAUCGUCCAUUCAAACUGAUCGUAGGGUCUCUAUUGCACAUCUUUUGAUGUUAAGUAAUUUGGCGACAGUUUCAACCCCUUCGCUUGUAUAUGUCGCUUGGGGCUUGGGGGGCUUAUAUAUGUAGUGUAAAUGGGUUGGACUAGGUAGAUCGGGAGGAAAAGAGGUUCGAUCGGUAUACACAGCUGACCGAUCGGUUACAAGCAAAGAAGAGUGAAGGUGAUGUGGCAAAGGUUAAGGAAGUGAACGGAUAUUUCGGACAUGAAUGGAGCAGUUACAACGAGUGAUUAAACAGGGCGAGAUUUGGGGAUAGCGGUUACGAUCCACUAUCGAGAGUAAACGCCUAUAAAUACAGAGGUUUAACUAGGUAUGAGACAGAUCUAAUUACAUUCCGAUUGAUUACAUUGUGUUCGUACUAACUUGAGCUUCGGAGUGCUAACGUGCAGGACACAACCGAUCGGUAUUGAGUGCGAGAAGAUCGUGAAUACGUCAACAACGGUUUUAGGGAUUGUGUUUGGUCCUCGGCCUUACAUCCGAAACAUUUAGU
This 1000-nucleotide long non-coding RNA is filed under the name Vigna radiata. Its description in RNAcentral is "long non-coding RNA (VRAD_LNC009933)". Lineage: Eukaryota; Viridiplantae; Streptophyta; Magnoliopsida; Fabales; Fabaceae. The record is from RNAcentral.